This 514-nucleotide ribosomal RNA is filed under the name uncultured organism. RNAcentral describes it as "bacterial SSU rRNA". It matches the Rfam family "Bacterial small subunit ribosomal RNA", at positions 76 to 570 of the family's 1533-position model. The record is from RNAcentral.
UCCUUCGGGAGCCUAGUAGAGUGGCAAACGGGUGAGUAACGCGUGGGUAACGUACCCUGAUCCUGGGAAUAAGCCUCGGAAACGAGGGCUAAUACCGAAUGUGGCGAACGACCGGUUGGUCGCUCGCUAAAGGUGGCCUCUUCUAUGCUGCCGGGUUGGGAUCGGCCCGCGUCCCAUUAGCUAGUUGGUGAGGUAACGGCUCACCAAGGCCACGAUGGGUAGCCGGCCUGAGAGGGUGUACGGCCACACUGGCACUGAGACAAGGGCCAGUCCCCUAUGGGAGGCACAGGCGGGAAUAGUUCACAAUGGGCGAAAGCCUGAUGACGCGACGCCGCGUGAGCGAAGAAGACCUUCGGGUUGUAAAGCUCUGUCAGGAGGGAAGAAGGCUCUACGGGUUAAUAGCCCGUGGAAUUGACGGUACCUCCAGAGGAAGCCCCGGCUAAAUACCGUGCCAGCAGCCGCGGUACUACGUAUGGGGCAAGCGUUGUCCGGAUUUACUGGGCGUAAAGGGCGC